GCGUGCCGAUUGAUUGGGCUGGUUUUGUGACGUUUCUAGUCUUGAUCUUGUCCCUUUUUAUGGGGAUCUUUUUGGGACAAGAACGCGGCUUUACCGAUCCCU
RNAcentral lists this ribosomal RNA (102 nucleotides) under Lacticaseibacillus paracasei. The record is from RNAcentral. Lineage: Bacteria; Bacillati; Bacillota; Bacilli; Lactobacillales; Lactobacillaceae.